RNAcentral lists this ribosomal RNA (503 nucleotides) under uncultured bacterium. Its description in RNAcentral is "partial 16S ribosomal RNA". It matches the Rfam family "Bacterial small subunit ribosomal RNA", at positions 30 to 523 of the family's 1533-position model. The record is from RNAcentral.
AUUGAACGCUGGCGGCAUGCCUUACACAUGCAAGUCGAACGGCAGCACGGGAGCUUGCUCCUGGUGGCGAGUGGCGAACGGGUGAGUAAUACAUCGGAACGUACCCAGUAGUGGGGGAUAACGCACCGAAAGGUGCGCUAAUACCGCAUACGACCUACGGGUGAAAGCGGGGGACCGUAAGGCCUCGCGCUAUUGGAGCGGCCGAUGUCUGAUUAGCUAGUUGGCGGGGUAAAAGCCCACCAAGGCGACGAUCAGUAGCUGGUCUGAGGGGACGAUCAGCCACACUGAGACUGAGACACGGCCCAGACUCCUACGGGAGGCAGCAGUGGGGAAUUUUGGACAAUGGGGGCAACCCUGAUCCAGCAAUGCCGCGUGUGCGAAGAAGGCCUUCGGGUUGUAAAGCACUUUUGUCAGGGAAGAAAUCUUUCAGGCUAAUACCCUUGGAAGGAUGACGGUACCUGAAGAAUAAGCACCGGCUAACUACGUGCCAGCCGCCGCCGUAA